RNAcentral lists this non-coding RNA (21 nucleotides) under Caenorhabditis elegans. The record is from RNAcentral. Lineage: Eukaryota; Metazoa; Nematoda; Chromadorea; Rhabditida; Rhabditidae.
UAAGUGGAUCUAUUAUCAAUU